AUGUAGUACCAGGCUAGCUGUCUCUCUCCCUGGCUGUUUCAUAAAUAUAUCAUUAUUGUGUCUCUUUAACAGGUGGGAAGGUGCGAGUACGUCUACUGGACUGGCUCAGACACGAUCUCUGCACAGACGCUGAUGCAGAGUUUGGAUGGACAGAGGAUGAAGUGGCAGAUCUCCAUGACAACACAACAAUUAUCAUCGCCGCUGACGUGUGCUACGAUGACGACCUGACAGACGCGCUGUUCCGAACUCUGUACAGAAUCUGUAACAACCUCCGUCUCCCCUGUACUACAUACCUGUCUAUAGAGAAGAGGCUGAACUUCACUCUGAGACACAUGGACAUAUCCUGCGAGGCCUACGACCAUUUCCGCCGCUGUCUGUGUGAGAUGCAGGAGCUGAGGGACGGACGGACAUGUUUCACAGUGGAGCAGGUCACACCCUCUUUCCCACAGUGCCUGCUGUAUGAGCGCAUAGAGCAACUGGAGUUGUGGAAAGUGACAGCGGUGCCUGUCUAACCCUCUGAGGAGCUGACCUGCUCGUAGACCUGCUCCUUGACCUGCUCCUUGACCUGCUCCUAGACCUGCUCCUUGACCUGCUCCUAGACCUGCUCCUUGACCUGCUCCUAGACCUGCUCCUUGACCUGCUCCUAGACCUGCUCCUUGACCUGCUCCUUGACCUGCUCCUAGACCUGCUCCUAGACCUGCUCCUAGACCUGCUCCUUGACCUGCUCCUUGACCUGCUCCUUGACCUGCUCCUAGACCUGCUCCUAGACCUGCUCCUAGACCUGCUCCUUGACCUGCUCCUUGACCUGCUCCUAGACCUGCUCCUUGACCUGCUCCUAGACCUGAGACAUGGCGUUUUCUGAUCUUAGAUCUGCUCCUAGACCUGAGACAUGGAGUUUUCUGAUCUUAGACCUGCUCCUAGACCUGCUCCUAGACCUGCUCCUUGACCUGAGACAUGGAGUUUUCUGAUCUUAGACCUGCUCCUUGACCUGAGACAUGGAGUUUUCUGAUCUUAGACCUGCUCCUUGACCUGCUCCUUGACCUGAGACAUGGAGUUUUCUGAUCUUAGACCUGCUCCUUGACCUGCUCCUUGACCUGAGACAUGGAGUUUUCUGAUCUUAGACCUGCUCCUUGACCUGCUCCUUGACCUGAGACAUGGAGUUUUCUGAUCUUAGACCUGCUCCUUGACCUGCUCCUUGACCUGAGACAUGGAGUUUUCUGAUCUUAGACCUGCUCCUAGACCUGCUCCUAGACCUGCUCCUUGACCUGAGACAUGGAGUUUUCUGAUCUUAGACCUAGUGUUUUCUGAACCUCUUGUGGUCAGUGUUGAGAAGGUAUUGAUAAAAAUAUAUAGAUUAUUUAGUGAACUAAUAGCAGUCAUUUCAAUCAGGGCAGCUGGACAGCAGUGAACAAAGACACUAGGAAUGAUCUCUGUAAAUAAACUCACUUGUUAAUAAAUAAGAUGUUUUUAAGCUCA
This is a long non-coding RNA of Oncorhynchus keta (chum salmon), 1476 nucleotides long. RefSeq lists it as uncharacterized. The record is from RefSeq and is a predicted model, not a curated record. The transcript is spliced from 5 exons. NCBI's taxonomy places the organism in Eukaryota, Metazoa, Chordata, Actinopteri, Salmoniformes, Salmonidae.